The submitters of this non-coding RNA (180 nucleotides) gave its source as unclassified sequences. The record is from Rfam.
AAAGGCAUCCCAUUUCUACUCCAUUUCAAUAGAAAUGGGGGAGCCGUAAAAAAGGAGGAAAACCCCGCCGGGCCGGCGGUGCGGCAGUGUGGAGACCUGUCGUAACGUCCGCAGGACCAAGCGCCUGCGGACAAGGGGGUAGGUGCGAAGGCUCUGCCCUUACGGCCCAUGCGCAUGGCA